Molecule: ribosomal RNA, 152 nt
Filed under: uncultured bacterium
Lineage: Bacteria
Description: partial 16S ribosomal RNA
Rfam family: Bacterial small subunit ribosomal RNA
Source: RNAcentral
UAAGGAAUAUUGCUCAAUGGCCGAAAGGCUGAAGCAGCAACGCCGCGUGAAGGAUGAAGACCUUUUGGUUGUAAACUUCUGUAGAGAGGGAGAAAACCCCCGUUCUUCGGGGAUUGAUAGUACCUCUAAAGUAAGCCCCGACUAACUACGUG